RNAcentral lists this ribosomal RNA (497 nucleotides) under uncultured bacterium. Its description in RNAcentral is "partial 16S ribosomal RNA". It matches the Rfam family "Bacterial small subunit ribosomal RNA", at positions 28 to 507 of the family's 1533-position model. The record is from RNAcentral.
GAUGAACGCUGGCGGCGUGCCUAAUACAUGCAAGUCGAGCGAACAGACGAGGAGCUUGCUCCUCUGACGUUAGCGGCGGACGGGUGAGUAACACGUGGAUAACCUACCUAUAAGACUGGGAUAACUUCGGGAAACCGGAGCUAAUACCGGAUAAUAUAUUGAACCGCAUUGUUCAAUAGUGAAAGACGGUUUUGCUGUCACUUAUAGAUGGAUCCGCGCCGCAUUAGCUAGUUGGUAAGGUAACGGCUUACCAAGGCAACGAUGCGUAGCCGACCUGAGAGGGUGAUCGGCCACACUGGAACUGAGACACGGACAAGAGUCCUACGGGAGGCAGCAGAAGGGAAUCUGACGCAAUGGGCGAAAGCAUGACGGAGCAACGCGGCGUGAGAGAUGAAGGUCUUCGGAUCGUAAAACUCUGUUAUUAGGGAAGAACAAAUGUGUAAGUAACUAUGCACGUAUUGACGGUAACUAAUCAGAAAGCCACGGCUAACUACGUG